AGGGCACCACCAGGAGUGGAGCCUGCGGCUUAAUUUGACUCAACACGGGAAAUCUCACCAGGCCCGGACACCGGUAGGAUUGACAGAUUGAGAGCUCUUUCUUGAUUCGGUGGGUGGUGGUGCAUGGCCGUUCUUAGUUGGUGGAGCGAUUUGUCUGGUUAAUUCCGAUAACGAACGAGACUCUGGCCUACUAACUAGACGUUAGAUCCCUUCGUGGGUCUAUCGCAGCUCCUUAGAGGGACGGGCGGCGUUUAGCCGCACGAGAUUGAGCAAUAACAGGUCUGUGAUGCCCUUAGAUGUUCUGGGCUGCACGCGCGCUACACUGAAGGAAUCAGCGUGUGUUCCCUACCCGAAAGGGUUGGGAAACCCGUUGAACCUCCUUCGUGAUGGGGAUUGGGGAUUGCAAUUAUUCCCCAGGAACGAGGAAUUCCCAGUAGGCGCGAGUCAUAAGCUCGCGUCGAUUACGUCCCUGCCCUUUGUACACACCGCCCGUCGCUACUACCGAUCGAGUUAUUUAGU
This 519-nucleotide ribosomal RNA is filed under the name uncultured eukaryote. Its description in RNAcentral is "SSU rRNA". It matches the Rfam family "Eukaryotic small subunit ribosomal RNA", at positions 1161 to 1702 of the family's 1831-position model. The record is from RNAcentral.